This is a long non-coding RNA of Oncorhynchus masou masou (cherry salmon), 760 nucleotides long. RefSeq lists it as uncharacterized. The transcript is spliced from 2 exons. The record is from RefSeq and is a predicted model, not a curated record. NCBI's taxonomy places the organism in Eukaryota, Metazoa, Chordata, Actinopteri, Salmoniformes, Salmonidae.
CCUCAUGAAGUAUCUUCACCACGCCCGGGUUUAGAUGUAGACUACAGAGCUAUAGGAUAACCUAGGCUACUAAACAUAUUUAUGUUUCCAGCGCUUAGCCAGCCUACCUUUCGAGGCGAUUCCACAGAAGCUAUACAGGAGGAACACCAAGUGCCGUUGGGGAAUCAUAUUCUUAACGCUUCCUUCAGCAGCAAACUAUGCUGGCCUCACGUUGUCUUCUGUUUUCGACUGGAGAAGCUCUCGGGUUUAUCCAGGUGCGCUUGCAGUCUGAAACCUGAGAAGAAUCUCAUAGGCUCCUUGGUCUACGUAGGAACGGAACUCAGUUCUGCUGUCAAUGCAAAAUGAAAUCCUGCAACUAGUGAGUUCCGGUCCCUCGGCAACCUGACACGCUCAACCCCAUCGCCUCCUCCCUUCUCCAGAACAUGUCUGCAAUCCGUCUCCUCAUCAACUCAUCCCUGACCACUGGCUGUGUACCCUCUGACUUCAAAAGGAUGUGUGAUGAGCUUCAUCCCAAAAUGGCAGCCUCCCCCCCUGCAUAGUGCACUACUUUUAACCAGAAACCAUAGAUCUAUGUGGAGAAUAGGGUGCCAUUCAGGAUGAAUACUAGGUUAAAACUCUUUAUGUUGAUCUUUUCCCUCUGGCUUCCAGUAACGUUUUAUUAUUUACAUUAUAUCAAUUUGAAAUAUGUACGUGACCCAUCUGCUCCAGAUAUUUGUUUAAUUUCAAUACUAAACCUGAUUAAACAACAUGGUUUUGAGGA